CGCGCAACCUGGGAACAAAUCCACAGCCUGUCCCUUUUUAAGUUUUUUCAAUCGCAUCUCUCGUCCGGUUUUGUUUUGAUUGCGACCGGGCCGACGGACACGUUUCGCCCCACGCCAGUACGGAACAGUCGCGCGUCCGACAACCAUAAUCAUACGUUUCGGUCCGAGUGCUAGUCUUUUGUCGUGUUGCUUUUGCGUUAGACUGUGUUACAAAAGGUGUUUUGUGUUCCGGGCAAGGUAAACCGCUGCGACAACCGAAACGCCUACUCGGCAGGACUAAGGCCCAAAAACCAACACAACAAACGGCGAGAACGUUCAGAAGGACGACUUGGAGGACCGACCGUCGGUGGUGGAGGAGGACGUGCAGUAGCGAGAGUACGUGUGCCGCGGCGGACCGCACGAAAAUGGUGCAUUGAAAGACUCAAAAGUGGGUCAUAAUUUAAUGGCAGUUGCGGGCCCGAGUUGCCACCCUCGUGUGUCCAUGUCCAUCUCGAUGAGUCUGAUGCAGGGUACAGUUGGGCCAACGGCCGGGGGCCAGCAGGGGGGCCUGCACGCCGCCCAGCCGUACUACCAUCCCGCCCAGCAUGCCGCCGCCCCGGCACAUACCCAGGAACAAGUGCAGCCGGACAGGCCGAUCGGCUACGGGGCCUUCGGAGUCGUUUGGGCCGUCACAGACCCGAGGGACGGCAGACGGGUGGCACUGAAAAAGUUACCGAACGUGUUCCAAUCCCUGGUAUCAUCUAAGAGGGUGUUUCGAGAAUUAAAGAUGCUGUGUUUUUUCAAACACGAAAACGUUCUGUCAGCGUUAGACAUUCUCCAGCCACCACAUCUAGACUUCUUCCAAGAAAUAUACGUCAUAACGGAACUAUUACAGAGCGACUUACACAAAAUCAUCGUGUCGCAUCAGCCCCUGUCGUCGGAUCACAUAAAAGUUUUCCUGUACCAGAUACUUAGAGGUUUAAAAUAUUUGCACUCGGCUAGGAUAUUGCACAGGGACAUCAAGCCCGGGAAUCUCCUAGUAAACAGUAAUUGUGUUCUAAAGAUCUGUGAUUUUGGUCUGGCACGCGUGGAAGAGCCAGACGUGAGCAAACACAUGACCCAAGAGGUAGUGACGCAGUAUUACAGGGCACCCGAGAUCCUGAUGGGGGCUAAACACUACACCGCCGCCGUCGACGUCUGGUCGGUCGGCUGCAUAUUCGGCGAGCUGCUGGGUCGUCGGAUACUCUUCCAGGCCCAAAACCCCGUCCAGCAACUGGAACUGAUCACCGAGCUGCUGGGCACACCGACCAUGGAAGACAUGAAGUACGCAUGCGAAGGCGCACGCUCCCACAUGCUGAGGCGAGCGCCCAAACCGCCCAGUCUGUCCGCCCUCUAUACGCUGAGUUCGCAGGCCACCCACGAGGUGGUGCAUUUACUGUGUCAGAUGCUUGUGUUCGAUCCCGAUAAAAGGAUAUCGGUGGUGGACGCGUUGGCACAUCCCUAUCUGGACGAGGGCAGGCUGAGGUACCAUUCGUGCAUGUGCAAGUGCUGCUACACGACGGCCAGCGGUAUGAGACAGUACACGCAGGAGUUCGAGAGUCAGGCGCCCACACCGUUCGACGACCAUUGGGAAAAGAAAUUGACGUCCGUGCAGCAAGUUAAAGAGGAGAUGCACAAGUUCAUUGCGGAGCAGCUGAACACGUCGCGGGUGCCGCUGUGCAUCAACCCCCAGUCGGCGGCGUUCAAGAGUUUCGCCAGGUAAGACGGCCAUCGCCGCGCAGCGACGCGCAGCGACCGAGCCGCAGAAACAACGCGCCAACGCAGCGCCAUUGCAUAGGUGACGAAAAACAACAUCCAACCAACCAAAAAUAUACAAUAUCAAGACCCAACCAACCAACACCUCACUACCACAACCCCUCUACAAGUCGUAACACUCCAACCAAAUCUAUUUGGUUUCGACAGUCGCCCAUCCGUCGGAGUUGCCUCCCUCGCCCCACCAAUGGGAUUGACAAUGGGGUGCGGUCCGGAGAUAACGGCUCCAAACGCUGCGACUUUUGUAUUAUAUUUUCUUCACCGCAAUCUCUCUACUCAGACU
This is an RNA transcript of Aethina tumida (small hive beetle), 2074 nucleotides long. It is a transcript of the gene named serine/threonine-protein kinase NLK-like, with no coding region annotated. NCBI's taxonomy places the organism in Eukaryota, Metazoa, Arthropoda, Insecta, Coleoptera, Nitidulidae. The record is from RefSeq and is a predicted model, not a curated record. The transcript has 10 exons.